This 2501-nucleotide long non-coding RNA is filed under the name Olea europaea (common olive). RNAcentral's name for it is "long non-coding RNA (OEUR_LNC001604)". The record is from RNAcentral. Lineage: Eukaryota; Viridiplantae; Streptophyta; Magnoliopsida; Lamiales; Oleaceae.
CGAGGAGGUAUUUACGCACGAGCAUUUCUGGGGAAGUCUGAAGCUCAACCAAGUACGGAAAGAGCUCUGCGGCGUGAGAAGGCUCUGCAGAUAGCAGUAUGUCCUUGACUUGCUUCAAGGACGACAGCUUUACAGCCAAAUCCCCAUGGUUGUUCGCCGAAGCGAGGAGAGGAAGCGCCUGCUCCUGCGCUGGCCCAGCCAUGGAAUAAUUCAGGACUCAAGGAGGAGGAGAAAAGAUUUUUCAAAUUAAUUAAUUGAGGUUUUGUACUAGUUUAGGGUUUUCUAGGGUUUUGAAUUGGGGGUGAUGGGAUUAUGCUUAUAUUUAGAAAAAUAAGGGUAGGGAUGAAAUGGUGUAAUGAAAUGAAUGGAAAGAGUGGGUGAAUUACAGAGCCUGGCGCCUGCGAAGAAGCGGUUUUGCUUGGUGUGGGAGAAUAUGGAUAUUAUAUAGUCACGUUCCCGGGUCGGGUUUAUUUAGUCUGAUCCGCUGCUGGCAGUACUGGACUUGUUUCCCGGGUCGCGCCCGUGUGAAGUGGUUUUAACAUCGUGGGAAAAACAUAGAAAAACCUCUUGAUACCCUACCCAUAUACUUUUGGUGUGAUUAUAUUGUCAUUAGUGUUAUAAAAUGUGGGGGCGGGGGGAAUAAGGUAAAAAAGUCAAUGAAUUUAUGCAUGUUUCAUUGAAAAUCAAAAAAGCUUCAUAUACAAUGUUAAUAAUAAUCAAGGCUGCAGACAUAAUUCUCAUUCACUAAUAACAUACUAUUGACAACAAUUACAGUUUUCUUUUAUUCGACAUUUUUAAUUAUACUAAAAUUCUCAAAUUUUUAUUAUUAUCUCUUUCAUUUCUCCCACCUUUGUUAUCAUUUUCUUAUUAUGAACAUUCCAUUUUCACAUAUUUGGUCAAUGUUGAUAAUUUGUCUAAAUAUUUUGUUAGCAUGAUUUGAAAUAAGAGAUAAAAAUUAUGUCGCACUUUUAUAUUUGUUGUUUUGCUUGUAUGAUAAAUAAGUCUUAAUACGCCCUCGUGACAAACUUUUUGAACAAAAAUGUUAUUAGAGACAAAAUAAACUAUUUAAUUUAAAGAUAGAAAAGCAAAAAAAUAAAAUAAAAUAAAAUAAGAGAGAGUGCGUGUGUGUGUUACAAAUGUUGCAAAAUAAAGAAAUUUUAAGUCACAUUUAGUACAGUUAAAAGUAAUGGAAUAUUGGCAAUAUAAACAUGAGCUAUGCUAGAUGUAUAUUAUGUACAAAAAUUAUGUACAAGUAGACUUUUCAUAUAACCAUGUAGACUGAUAAAGGUAAUAAUGGAAUGAUGGCAAUAUAACCUAAUAGACUAAUAAAGGUACUCUUGAGCAUCCAAGAACAAGCAGAUUCAAUCAAACGACGAAUUCUUACGUUGUUUAAGGAAAUCAAAGGUUCGCUUCCAUGAUGUCAUCUAUAUGGAAUCUCUAAGUAUUAAUGGUUAACCAACUUCCAUAUAAAUGCCUCAAUAAGUAGAACUGCCUUUGGGUGGAGAAUUUUUUUGCCCCCCUUUAUUCUGGCAGCUUUCUUUGGGAAAAGAGGUUGUUAUUUGAACUUCAUGCAAUUUAGUUCGGAGUUGAACACUAAAAUAAUCUUAAGUCAAGCAAAUUUGUAUUACUUCUUAUGAACUUUGUAUCUAGGACACACCAACACAUUAAUCAAAAACUGUGGAACAAUUUAUGUUACUUCCCUUUUUUCUCUUUUUUAUGGGAUGGGGAGCACCCAAGGUUCUCAUGUCUACUAAAGCACAAAUAUAAAACCUCUUAUCCGAUUAAAAUCAUCAUUUAGUAGAAAAAUCAACUGUCAAGGUUCAAUCUUUUUGUUCCUUCAACAAUUACAAGAUCUUGAUCACAAAAAGCAGAAGACGUGUCUGUCUAAAAAAAUCUUUUAUCCGUCAAAAAAUCAUGAAAAAUGACAUAAGCCCAAUUUAAGUAAUUUUUUUAUUUCCCCGACUACAUUAAGAAAGAAAAUCAUGUUUAAUGCAUUAACCAAAAAAUCAAAAAUAAAAUAAAAUAGAGCCGGAAAAUAAAGAAUUCACAGAACUACCAAAAUCGGAAAUUAUUCUCUAUUUCGAGUAACAAUAACUUACUCGAGGAGGUAUUUACGCACGAGCAUUUCUGGGGAAGUCUGAAGCUCAACCAAGUACGGAAAGAGCUCUGCGGCGUGAGAAGGCUCUGCAGAUAGCAGUAUGUCCUUGACUUGCUUCAAGGACGACAGCUUUACAGCCAAAUCCCCAUGGUUGUUCGCCGAAGCGAGGAGAGGAAGCGCCUGCUCCUGCGCUGGCCCAGCCAUGGAAUAAUUCAGGACUCAAGGAGGAGGAGAAAAGAUUUUUCAAAUUAAUUAAUUGAGGUUUUGUACUAGUUUAGGGUUUUCUAGGGUUUUGAAUUGGGGGUGAUGGGAUUAUGCUUAUAUUUAGAAAAAUAAGGGUAGGGAUGAAAUGGUGUAAUGAAUGAAUGGAAAGAGUGGGUGAAUUACAGAGCCUGGCGCCUGC